GUGGAUUGAUAAAUAAAAUGUGAGGAGCUAACAUAUUUAAUUAUAAGUUUACUAAUAAAAAAUUGUCAUGGUGUAGCGGGAAAGAAUGGACUUUAUUAACUCCAUGGCCUCGUCAGAAAUUUACAAAUAGUAAAAUUGGGAAUAUAGAAUGAUAUUCAAAUCAAAGGAAAAAUCCUUAUUAGGUGAGGAAAAUAUUAAGGUGAAUAAAUUGAUGAUCU
RNAcentral lists this long non-coding RNA (218 nucleotides) under Olea europaea (common olive). Its description in RNAcentral is "long non-coding RNA (OEUR_LNC000854)". Lineage: Eukaryota; Viridiplantae; Streptophyta; Magnoliopsida; Lamiales; Oleaceae. The record is from RNAcentral.